CAUUAAAUAAUAAUUAUCUACCAUGCUUAGCUUAUCCUAAUUUAUCAAUUGGCUGAAAAGGCUGCAGCCUAGAGCGCCAUUAAAUGACGGUGGGGAGAUGCGACAAAACAAUUUUGUUUUUAAUUGAUUUCUUUCAAAUUUGUAAAGCGUGUAAUACCAGGAUUUAUCAUAUAAAACUACUAUCCAGAGAUGGGUAAAACGGAUCAUUCGAAGGAUACCGUUAGGUCAGGUAGGAACGGUUUAUUCAAAAGACCUGCAGAUUGUAUGAUUCAUUCAUAUCAUUCAUUUGAAUUAUGCGAGUCAAAAGAUUUUAUCACUUAUCAUAUUAUAAGUUUAGAAAUUUAUUCUGGUUUAAUUUGUAAAAAUUAUAAAUUUGAAUUACCUACUAAUAUUGAAUUUGUUUCAGUAUAGAAUGUAUUUUGGAAUUAAG
Molecule: non-coding RNA, 430 nt
Organism: Cinara cedri
Lineage: Eukaryota; Metazoa; Arthropoda; Insecta; Hemiptera; Aphididae
Source: the annotation of a GenBank genome assembly